UUGCUAUCUGCGAUAUGGAAGAUUCGAACCUGCCGCAGGUUCGGGUCGAACGCAGUGAGACAACGGAGCCGUUUACGGCGACGGCCCGAAGGGCGAGCGAAGCGAGUCAUCCUGCACGCCCCACCA
This 126-nucleotide small RNA is filed under the name Salmonella enterica. RNAcentral's name for it is "RtT sRNA". It matches the Rfam family "RtT RNA". Rfam says of the family: This family represents a bacterial cis-regulatory element known as RtT RNA. Lineage: Bacteria; Pseudomonadati; Pseudomonadota; Gammaproteobacteria; Enterobacterales; Enterobacteriaceae. The record is from RNAcentral.